Non-coding RNA from Strongylocentrotus purpuratus (purple sea urchin), 45 nucleotides. NCBI's taxonomy places the organism in Eukaryota, Metazoa, Echinodermata, Echinoidea, Camarodonta, Strongylocentrotidae. The record is from Rfam.
CCAACAGUCUUUUUCAAGACUACACACCCUCAAAAAAGAUUACCG